RNAcentral lists this ribosomal RNA (253 nucleotides) under uncultured bacterium. RNAcentral describes it as "partial 16S ribosomal RNA". It matches the Rfam family "Bacterial small subunit ribosomal RNA", at positions 524 to 776 of the family's 1533-position model. The record is from RNAcentral.
UAUGAAGGGGGCUAGCGUUGCUCGGAAUUACUGGGCGUAAAGGGCGCGUAGGCGGCACUGUUAGUCAGGCGUGAAAGUCCUGGGCUCAACCUGGGAACUGCGCUUGAUACGGCAGAGCUAGAGGAUGGAAGAGGCUCGCGGAAUUCCCAGUGUAGAGGUGAAAUUCGUAGAUAUUGGGAAGAACACCGGUGGCGAAGGCGGCGAGCUGGUCCAUUACUGACGCUGAGGCGCGACAGCGUGGGGAGCAAACAGG